This is a long non-coding RNA of Perca fluviatilis (European perch), 251 nucleotides long. RefSeq lists it as uncharacterized. The record is from RefSeq and is a predicted model, not a curated record. The transcript has 3 exons. NCBI's taxonomy places the organism in Eukaryota, Metazoa, Chordata, Actinopteri, Perciformes, Percidae.
AGAGAGAGUCUUUGUCUCAAGGCUCCAAAGACUACAUUGCCCUGAUGGUUCUGCCAGGUCUGAUUCCACCUGCAGUCUUCAGGAUGGGCCGAAAGACCGUGAGGACUACAGUGUCUGACGCCAUGAAGGCCUUCAUCGAUCUUAAGCCUGUCGGAGCCAACAUGGUGGAGUACCUUCAGGCAGCAGAGCAGACCAGGCCAUACCCCUGCACCCUGGUGUUGGGAGGCGAGGAGCGCUGCUCUCAGGCAUUC